AGUGAACGCUGGCGGUAGGCCUAACACAUGCAAGUCGAACGGCAGCACAGUAAGAGCUUGCUCUUACGGGUGGCGAGUGGCGGACGGGUGAGGAAUACAUCGGAAUCUACUUUUUCGUGGAGGAUAACGUAGGGAAACUUACGCUAAUACCGCAUACGACCUACGGGUGAAAGCAGGGGAUCUUCGGACCUUGCGCGAUUGAAUGAGCCGAUGUCGGAUUAGCUAGUUGGCGGGGUAAAAGCCCACCAAGGCGACGAUCCGUAGCUGGUCUGAGAGGAUGAUCAGCCACACUGGAACUGAGACACGGUCCAGACUCCUACGGGAGGCAGCAGUGGGGAAUAUUGGACAAUGGGCGCAAGCCUGAUCCAGCCAUACCGCGUGGGUGAAGAAGGCCUUCGGGUUGUAAAGCCCUUUUGUUGGGAAAGAAAAGCAGCAGGUUAAUACCCCGCUGUUCUGACGGUACCCAAAGAAUAAGCACCGGCUAACUUCGUG
RNAcentral lists this ribosomal RNA (492 nucleotides) under uncultured bacterium. RNAcentral's name for it is "partial 16S ribosomal RNA". It matches the Rfam family "Bacterial small subunit ribosomal RNA", at positions 29 to 507 of the family's 1533-position model. The record is from RNAcentral.